Molecule: ribosomal RNA, 455 nt
Filed under: uncultured organism
Description: partial 16S ribosomal RNA
Rfam family: Bacterial small subunit ribosomal RNA
Source: RNAcentral
CGUACACUCCUACGGGAGGCAGCAGUGGGGAAUAUUGGACAAUGGGCGCAAGCCUGAUCCAGCCAUGCCGCGUGAGUGAUGAAGGCCCUAGGGUUGUAAAGCUCUUUCACCGGUGAAGAUAAUGACGGUAACCGGAGAAGAAGCCCCGGCUAACUUCGUGCCAGCAGCCGCGGUAAUACGAAGGGGGCUAGCGUUGUUCGGAUUUACUGGGCGUAAAGCGCACGUAGGCGGACUAUUAAGUCAGGGGUGAAAUCCCGGGGCUCAACCCCGGAACUGCCCUUGAUACUGGUAGUCUUGAGUUCGGGAGAGGUGAGUGGAAUUCCGAGUGUAGAGGUGAAAUUCGUAGAUAUUCGGAGGAACACCAGUGGCGAAGGCGGCUCACUGGCUCGGUACUGACGCUGAGGUGCGAAAGCGUGGGGAGCAAACAGGAGUAGAUACCCUGGUAGUCCCAUGAU